GUAUUGAUGAUGAAAACAAAUCUCGGAGGAUGAUGAUAGACUCAUACAAAGGGCAAUCUGAGGUC
Mesocricetus auratus (golden hamster) is the source of this 65-nucleotide non-coding RNA. The record is from Rfam. Lineage: Eukaryota; Metazoa; Chordata; Mammalia; Rodentia; Cricetidae.